GCCCCCUUAGCUCAGUGGACAGAGCAGCAAGCUUCUACCUUGUCGGUCGAGGGUUCGAAUCCUUCAGGGGGCG
RNAcentral lists this transfer RNA (73 nucleotides) under Microbacterium marinilacus. RNAcentral describes it as "tRNA-Arg". It matches the Rfam family "tRNA". From Rfam's summary of the family: Transfer RNA (tRNA) molecules are approximately 80 nucleotides in length. Lineage: Bacteria; Bacillati; Actinomycetota; Actinomycetes; Micrococcales; Microbacteriaceae. RNAcentral also lists the same sequence under 2 other names. The record is from RNAcentral.